UACGGAGGUUUCGAGCGUUAUCCGGAUUUAUUGGGUUUAAAGGGUGCGUAGGCGGACUUGUAAGUCAGCUGUGAAAGUUUACGGCUCAACCGUGAAAUUGCAGUUGAUACUGUUGGUCUUGAGUAUACAUGAGGUAGGCGGAAUUUGUGGUGUAGCGGUAAAAUGCUUAGAUAUCUCAAAGAACUCCAGUUGCGAAGGCAGCUCACUGG
This 209-nucleotide ribosomal RNA is filed under the name uncultured bacterium. RNAcentral describes it as "partial 16S ribosomal RNA". It matches the Rfam family "Bacterial small subunit ribosomal RNA", at positions 524 to 732 of the family's 1533-position model. The record is from RNAcentral.